CUCGUAGGCGGUUGCGUAAGUCGGAUGUGAAAACUCAGGGCUCAACCCUGAGACGCCAUCCGAUACUGCGCUGACUUGAGUCCGGUAGAGGAGUGUGGAAUUCCUAGUGUAGCGGUGAAAUGCGCAGAUAUUAGGAGGAACACCAAUUGCGAAGGCAGCACUCUGGGCCGGAACUGACGCUGAGGAGCGAAAGCGUGGGUAGCAAACA
RNAcentral lists this ribosomal RNA (208 nucleotides) under uncultured bacterium. Its description in RNAcentral is "partial 16S ribosomal RNA". It matches the Rfam family "Bacterial small subunit ribosomal RNA", at positions 568 to 774 of the family's 1533-position model. The record is from RNAcentral.